GAAGAACGCUGGCGGCGUGCCUAAUACAUGCAAGUCGAGCGAACAGACGAGGAGCUUGCUCCUCUGACGUUAGCGGCGGACGGGUGAGUAACACGUGGAUAACCUACCUAUAAGACUGGGAUAACUUCGGGAAACCGGAGCUAAUACCGGAUAAUAUAUUGAACCGCAUGGUUCAAUAGUGAAAGACGGUUUUGCUGUCACUUAUAGAUGGAUCCGCGCCGCAUUAGCUAGUUGGUAAGGUAACGGCUUACCAAGGCGACGAUGCGUAGCCGACCUGAGAGGGUGAUCGGCCACACUGGAACUGAGACACGGUCCAGACUCCUACGGGAGGCAGCAGUAGGGAAUCUUCCGCAAUGGGCGAAAGCCUGACGGAGCAACGCCGCGUGAGUGAUGAAGGUCUUCGGAUCGUAAAACUCUGUUAUUAGGGAAGAACAAAUGUGUAAGUAACUAUGCACGUCUUGACGGUACCUAAUCAGAAAGCCACGGCUAACUACGUG
Molecule: ribosomal RNA, 497 nt
Filed under: uncultured bacterium
Lineage: Bacteria
Description: partial 16S ribosomal RNA
Rfam family: Bacterial small subunit ribosomal RNA
Source: RNAcentral